This 68-nucleotide transfer RNA is filed under the name Marmota monax (woodchuck). Its description in RNAcentral is "tRNA.Ala". The stretch from base 5 to 61 matches the Rfam family "tRNA", at positions 8 to 63 of the family's 71-position model. Rfam says of the family: Transfer RNA (tRNA) molecules are approximately 80 nucleotides in length. Their secondary structure includes four short double-helical elements and three loops (D, anti-codon, and T loops). Lineage: Eukaryota; Metazoa; Chordata; Mammalia; Rodentia; Sciuridae. The record is from RNAcentral.
GUUUUGGCUCAGUGGUAGAGUGCUUGCCUAGCAUGCAUGAGGCACUGGGUUUGAUUCCUGGCACCACA